UUGUAGCAAAUUAUUGGAACAUCGCUUAUAAGAAAGUGGCACGAACUUUCCGGAUAAUCGAGUACCUGGUGCAUGUAGAAUGGAGAAAGAUAGACAGAUAGCGCAGAGAGAGUUAGUUGGAAAAGUUACCGAAAAAUUAGAGGUGGAAUCCGAGUUAAAAAUACAGCGUUAGUUUGGGAGAGUGGAGAGUAAGAGUUUUGCGCGAUCGUAUCUUUUACUAUUUUAUUUAACGUCUCGCGAAUAAAUGCCUGUCCGCGCGCAGUUCAAUCUCUCUAUUCUGCAAAAAUGAAAAAGUUUUUAUGACUUCGCGAACUCUAAUUAAACUUACUGCUUCCAUCUGUGAAACUAUUCACGACUCAACCUCGUUCAAAUGCAAGCAGUCGUUCAACUUUUUCAACUCGUUAUUUGAAAAAUUCAGUUUACGCCUGCUCCAAUACAUUCACCUAAAGCAUUAAACUAG
Molecule: unclassified non-coding RNA, 460 nt
Filed under: Bombus terrestris (buff-tailed bumblebee)
Lineage: Eukaryota; Metazoa; Arthropoda; Insecta; Hymenoptera; Apidae
Description: misc RNA ENSBTSG00005027167.1
Source: RNAcentral